UACGUAGGGUGCAAGCGUUGUCCGGAAUUAUUGGGCGUAAAGAGCUCGUAGGCGGUCUGUUGCGUCGGCUGUGAAAACCCGGGGCUCAACCCCGGACUUGCGGUGGGUACGGGCAGACUAGAGUGUGGUAGGGGAGACUGGAAUUCCUGGUGUAGCGGUGAAAUGCGCAGAUAUCAGGAGGAACACCGAUGGCGAAGGCAGGUCUCUGGGCCACUACUGACGCUGAGAGGCGAAAGCGUGGGGAGCGAACAGG
This 253-nucleotide ribosomal RNA is filed under the name uncultured bacterium. RNAcentral's name for it is "partial 16S ribosomal RNA". It matches the Rfam family "Bacterial small subunit ribosomal RNA", at positions 524 to 776 of the family's 1533-position model. The record is from RNAcentral.